RNAcentral lists this ribosomal RNA (480 nucleotides) under uncultured bacterium. RNAcentral's name for it is "partial 16S ribosomal RNA". It matches the Rfam family "Bacterial small subunit ribosomal RNA", at positions 28 to 523 of the family's 1533-position model. The record is from RNAcentral.
GACGAACGCUGGCGGCGUGCUUAACACAUGCAAGUCGAGCGAUGAAACACCUUCGGGUGCGGAUUAGCGUCGGACGGGUGAGGAACACGUGAGGAAUCUGCCUUCCACUCUGGGAUAACUCCGGGAAACCGGGGCUAAUACCGGAUACUUUCAACUGGCGGCAUCGCCGGUUGAAGAAAGUUUUUCGGUGGAAGAUGACCUCGCGGCCUAUCAGCUUGUUGGUGAGGUAAAGGCUCACCAAGGCGACGACGGGUAGCCGGCCUGAGAGGGCGACCGGCCACACUGGGACUGAGACACGGCCCAGACUCCUACGGGAGGCAGCAGUGGGGAAUAUUGGGCAAUGGAGGAAACUCUGACCCAGCGACGCCGCGUGAGGGAUGAAGGCCUUCGGGUUGUAAACCUCUUUCAGCAGGGAAUAAGCGAAAGUGAAGGUACCUGCAGAAGAAGCACCGGCUAACUAUGUGCCAGCAGCCGCCGCAG